This 824-nucleotide ribosomal RNA is filed under the name Oceanospirillaceae bacterium ACEMC 3F-10. RNAcentral describes it as "bacterial SSU rRNA". It matches the Rfam family "Bacterial small subunit ribosomal RNA", at positions 61 to 880 of the family's 1533-position model. The record is from RNAcentral. Lineage: Bacteria; Pseudomonadati; Pseudomonadota; Gammaproteobacteria; Oceanospirillales; Oceanospirillaceae.
GUCGAGCGGUAGAGAGAAGCUUGCUUCUCUUGAGAGCGGCGGACGGGUGAGUAACGCGUAGGAAUCUACCUGGUAGUGGGGGACAACAUUCGGAAACGGAUGCUAAUACCGCAUACGCCCUACGGGGGAAAGGAGGGGAUCUUCGGACCUUUCGCUAUCAGAUGAGCCUGCGUAGGAUUAGCUAGUUGGUGGGGUAAAGGCCCACCAAGGCGACGAUCCUUAGCUGGUCUGAGAGGAUGACCAGCCACACUGGGACUGAGACACGGCCCAGACUCCUACGGGAGGCAGCAGUGGGGAAUAUUGGACAAUGGGGGCAACCCUGAUCCAGCCAUGCCGCGUGUGUGAAGAAGGCCUUCGGGUUGUAAAGCACUUUCAGUGGUGAGGAAAGGGUAACCGCUAAUACCGGUUAUCUGUGACGUUAGCCACAGAAGAAGCACCGGCUAAUUCCGUGCCAGCAGCCGCGGUAAUACGGAAGGUGCGAGCGUUAAUCGGAAUAACUGGGCGUAAAGCGCGCGUAGGUGGUUGAGUCAGUCAGAUGUGAAAGCCCCGGGCUUAACCUGGGAACUGCACCUGAUACUGCUUGACUAGAGUACGGUAGAGGGCAGUGGAAUUUCCUGUGUAGCGGUGAAAUGCGUAGAUAUAGGAAGGAACACCAGUGGCGAAGGCGACUGCCUGGACUGAUACUGACACUGAGGUGCGAAAGCGUGGGUAGCAAACAGGAUUAGAUACCCUGGUAGUCCACGCCGUAAACGAUGUCGACUAGCCGUUGGGAGACUUGAUCUCUUAGUGGCGCAGUUAACGCGAUAAGUCGACCGCCUGGGGAG